RNAcentral lists this long non-coding RNA (2116 nucleotides) under Musa acuminata (dwarf banana). Its description in RNAcentral is "long non-coding RNA (MACU_LNC009809)". The record is from RNAcentral. Lineage: Eukaryota; Viridiplantae; Streptophyta; Magnoliopsida; Zingiberales; Musaceae.
UGCGACUGCAGCAGUGCAGCUGGGAAAGAAGAGAAGGAAAGGAAGAAGAAGAGAAAGGAAAAGGGAAGAAGAGAGGAAGAGGAGAAGGGGAGGCAGCUGUGGCAGUGGCAGCUGCAGCUGCAGCUGGAAGAGAAGGAGAGGAAAUAGAGCAAGGGAGGAAGAAGAGGCUGCGGCUGUGGUGGCUGCGGCCAUGGCUGCGACUGCGACUACGGCAGUUGUAGCUGGGAAAGAAAAGAAAGGAAAGGGGGAAAAAGGGGAUGCGGACGGGAUUGCGGCCGCAGUGGCAGCGACUGCGUAUGCAGCAGUUAUGUCUGCGAGAGAAGGGAGGAAGGAAAGUAGUGCGGUGGAAGGGGCUGCGAUUGUGGCAGCGGCGGCGGCUGUGGCCGCUGCGUUUGGGAAAGAAAAAGAAGGAAUGAGAGUAAGAGAGAGCAGGUGACUGUGCCUCGAUGUUCGACACGUGGUGUAGUUGCGAAGAAAGAAAGAAAAUGAGUGCACAAAACGAAACAGGGAGGGGAUGGAGGAAAAGUAGAAAAAGGAUUCGAGCGUACACCUUCUUCGAAUCUUUGGAUCAAAACCUUCAAAAGGCAAGUUUGCCGAUCGUUUCUCCUGUUAUUGUUCUAAUCUUUCCUAUUGCAAGUGUCUUGAUAUUUCCUUACUGUAAUUCUAUCUCUACAUUUGAUUUGAAUACGAGGAACUUUGAAUUGUUCUAGCCUUGCAUUUGAUAUAUCUCUUGUUUAGACAUAUCGAUCCGAAUCUGUGCAACGUCUGAGAUUCUGACCUUUCUACCUUGUUAUGAUUAUAACUUCGUGUAUUGACCUCUGAUUUGGACAAAAAUUAUUUGAUCAUAAUAUAGACUCAUAAACCUUUCUUUUGAUAGCUUUCUUGAGUAUAUUGGAGCACCAUUGAUAGUUUGAAUCAUUUGUUCAAUGUGCCUCUUGUAUUCUGUCAGAAAUUGAGCUUUGGUCAAUUUCUCAUAUUCUGGUUUCAUUCCUUUGAAAAUUGAUAUCCUUUAGCUUUCUUAUUCAAUUGAGCUUUAUAUUACUACUUUGAAUUCUUGUAUGCUCUUGUCCUACAUGUUUUUGGAUACCUAAUUAUGUUAUGUAAAUUUCAUGUUUGUAUCGUAAUGUUUCAUAAAGGCACAUAUACAUUUCGUUGUUCCGCAUGUGCUUCCGAUAUGUCCCAAUUUAUUGUUCACAAUACCCUUUUGUACUCUGGUGUUUGUGGGAUUAUUUGGACCUUUGCCAGAAAUGGUAAAGGGUAUGUGCUUAGAGCCCGCGAUGCUCUAGAUUAUGUUUGGUGGUCAUUCAAAAAUGGAUGGACCAUAUUAUGUUUGGAAUCCCACUUCACCAUCUAUCUGUUUGAUAUGAAAUUCAGAGCCGACCUAGCACUUGUGUAGGGUGAGAGGGCUCGAGUAGGAAAGGGCUACCCAUGGAUGGAGUCGAGAACUCAUCACGGCGUGGAGCCACCACUGAGUUAAACCUCACAUGCACUAUGCUAGGGUACGACGUCUGAGCUUCUAUUUCGUAUUCUUUCUUUGAUAUGCUUCGAAAUGGUCCAUAUACCAUUGAUAUGUUCCGAAAUGUUUCAUUUAUCAUUGAUAUGCUCCGAAACAUUUCAUACGCCUUUGAUAUGCUCCGAAAUGUUUUAUUUGUUAUUGUUACGCUUCGAAAUGUUCCAUAUGUCAUUGAUACGCUCCGGAACAUUUCAUAUGCUAUUGAUAUGCUCCAGUUACUCUGUGCUCCAUUUGCUAUGAACUGAUAUGUUCUGAAAUGUCCUAUCUACCAUUGAUAUGCUCCGGAACAUCUCGUACGCUAUUGAUAUGCUCCAAUUACUCUAUGCUCAAUCUGUUAUGAACCAAAUAGGUUUUGAAUGACAUAACACAUUAUUUUGUAUCUAUUGAGAUGGUAUCCUUGAGAAUUCUUGUAUUUUGCCUUGCAUUAUGAUAUCUUACUUGUUUGAAACCGUUCCUUUUGUUCUGAAUAUGUUUUGUUACUUGCUGAGCUGUUUUUAGCUCACUCCGUUAUUAUAUAAAUCUUUCAGGUCAGCUUGUCACUCUUUGAGAUGUUUGAAUUGGGCUGAGGCAGUGGAGAGCUAUUCUGAAUUAUGGGCAAGUCUU